Molecule: ribosomal RNA, 400 nt
Filed under: uncultured bacterium
Lineage: Bacteria
Description: bacterial SSU rRNA
Rfam family: Bacterial small subunit ribosomal RNA
Source: RNAcentral
AAUCAACGCUGGCGGCGUGCCUCAGACAUGCAAGUCGAACGAUUAAAGCUCCCUUCGGGGAGUGCAUAAAGUGGCGCACGGGUGAGUAACACGUAAGUAAUCUACCCUCGGGUGGGGAAUAACAUCGGGAAACCGAUGCUAAUACCGCAUAAUGCAGCGGCACCGCAAGGUGACAGUUGUUAAAGAUUUAUUGCCUGGGGAGGAGCUUGCGGCAGAUUAGCUAGUUGGUAAGGUAACGGCUUACCAAGGCUACGAUCUGUAUCCGGUCUAAGAGGACGGUCGGACACACUGACACUGAAUAACGGGUCAGACUCCUACGGGAGGCAGCAGUCGGGAAUUUUGGGCAAUGGGGGAAACCCUGACCCAGCAACGCCGCGUGAAGGAUGAAGUAUUUCGGUAU